AGGGACUUUUGGGGGCAGGUAUGU
Molecule: microRNA, 24 nt
Filed under: Scyliorhinus torazame (cloudy catshark)
Lineage: Eukaryota; Metazoa; Chordata; Chondrichthyes; Carcharhiniformes; Scyliorhinidae
Description: Sto-Mir-193-P2a_5p* (star (passenger))
Source: RNAcentral